Molecule: ribosomal RNA, 253 nt
Filed under: uncultured bacterium
Lineage: Bacteria
Description: partial 16S ribosomal RNA
Rfam family: Bacterial small subunit ribosomal RNA
Source: RNAcentral
UACGGAGGAGGCAAGCGUUAUCCGGAAUUACUGGGCGUAAAGCGCGCGUAGGCGGCUCGGUCAGUCGGGUGUGAAAUCCCUGGGCUCAACCUGGGAACUGCAUUCGAUACUGCCGAGCUAGAGUGUGGGAGAGGGUAGUGGAAUUCCCGGUGUAGCGGUGAAAUGCGUAGAUAUCGGGAGGAACAUCAGUGGCGAAGGCGACUGCCUGGCCCAACACUGACGCUGAGGUGCGAAAGCGUGGGUAGCAAACAGG